CCUACGGGAGGCAGCAGUGAGGAAUAUUGGUCAAUGGACGCAAGUCUGAACCAGCCAUGCCGCGUGCAGGAUGACGGCUCUAUGAGUUGUAAACUGCUUUUGUCCGAGGGUAAACCCCGAUACGCGUAUCGUGCUGACAGUAUCCUAAGAAUAAGGAUCGGCUAACUCCGUGCCAGCAGCCGCGGUAAUACGGAGGAUCCGAGCGUUAUCCGGAUUUAUUGGGUUUAAAGGGUGCGUAGGCGGUUUGAUAAGUUAGAGGUGAAAUGUCGGGGCUCAACCCCGAAAGUGCCUCUAAUACUGUUGGACUAGAGAGUGGUUGCGGUAGGCGGAAUGUAUGGUGUAGCGGUGAAAUGCUUAGAGAUCAUACAGAACACCGAUUGCGAAGGCAGCAUACCAAACUAUAUCUGACGUUGAGGCACGAAAGCGUGGGUAGCAAACAGGAUUAGAUACCCCUGUAGUC
This 460-nucleotide ribosomal RNA is filed under the name uncultured bacterium. RNAcentral describes it as "partial 16S ribosomal RNA". It matches the Rfam family "Bacterial small subunit ribosomal RNA", at positions 338 to 795 of the family's 1533-position model. The record is from RNAcentral.